CUUCUCUCCUCUCUUCCACUGUUUUUGUCUUGAAAAAUGUCAGAAAAUAGCUCCUCGUCGUAGUUGAAGUGCCAUUGUGGUUUGAUAGCUAGCCACUUAACUUCAAAAACUCCUUCAAACCCUGGAAGGAAGUUCUUUAAGUGUCCUAAGCCUAAGAUUAAUUCUUGUGGUUAUUGGAAAUGGGAAGAUGAAGUAUUUUCGGAUACUCCAUUGACUGAAGUCAGAGAGUUAGUGGCUGCUUUGGAUGCUCUUAAGGUUGAAAUAGACAAUUUGAGGAAAGAAGUAGCCAAAUUGGAGGCUAUAAGUUAUUCUCAAGUGAUUAAAGUGUCAACUUUGGAAGACAAAGUAACAAAAAUGUGGAUGGUAAUUAUAGUUUCAUUGGCACUUUUCGUGGGUUUCAUUACAGCUCCAAUGAUGAAAUGAUUGCCCUUACGAGACUAGUAUUUAUGUUUUUGGUGUAACUUGAAAAAUAUUAUCAUGAAGUUGUUUUAAAUGCCUUUGUUUGGAUGAAUGUAAUGUAAUUCCCUCGUUUGGAUAAAUUGUUGUUAUAAUAUGUCCAUUGUAAAACCUUCUUUUGGAUGAAGCAAUGUCUUACUUUUGCAUAAAAUUAUUGUGUAUGUUGUUCUUUUAGCAAAUCAGAACUAGUUAGGAAACCUGCAAUGUUAUCUAAAAAUAGAAGAAUCGGCUAUCAAAGAGAA
This is a long non-coding RNA of Lycium ferocissimum, 698 nucleotides long. RefSeq lists it as uncharacterized. The record is from RefSeq and is a predicted model, not a curated record. The transcript is spliced from 2 exons. NCBI's taxonomy places the organism in Eukaryota, Viridiplantae, Streptophyta, Magnoliopsida, Solanales, Solanaceae.